This 497-nucleotide ribosomal RNA is filed under the name uncultured bacterium. Its description in RNAcentral is "partial 16S ribosomal RNA". It matches the Rfam family "Bacterial small subunit ribosomal RNA", at positions 28 to 507 of the family's 1533-position model. The record is from RNAcentral.
GAUGAACGCUGGCGGCGUGCCUAAUACAUGCAAGUCGAGCGAACGGACGAGAAGCUUGCUUCUCUGACGUUAGCGGCGGACGGGUGAGUAACACGUGGAUAACCUACCUAUAAGACUGGGAUAACUUCGGGAAACCGGAGCUAAUACCGGAUAAUAUUUUGAACCGCAUGGUUCAAUAGUGAAAGACGGUUUUGCUGUCACUUAUAGAUGGAUCCGCGCUGCAUUAGCUAGUUGGUAAGGUAACGGCUUACCAAGGCAACGAUGCAUAGCCGACCUGAGAGGGUGAUCGGCCACACUGGAACUGAGACACGGUCCAGACUCCUACGGGAGGCAGCAGUAGGGAAUCUUCCGCAAUGGGCGAAAGCCUGACGGAGCAACGCCGCGUGAGUGAUGAAGGUCUUCGGAUCGUAAAACUCUGUUAUUAGGGAAGAACAUAUGUGUAAGUAACUAUGCACAUCUUGACGGUACCUAAUCAGAAAGCCACGGCUAACUACGUG